Talpa occidentalis (Iberian mole) is the source of this 1025-nucleotide long non-coding RNA. RefSeq lists it as uncharacterized. Lineage: Eukaryota; Metazoa; Chordata; Mammalia; Eulipotyphla; Talpidae. The record is from RefSeq and is a predicted model, not a curated record. The transcript has 6 exons.
UUGACUAGCUUUGGGGCCUCCACCCUGUUGUCACAGGUCCAUGGUGCCCCAUUAUCUGUUUCCCUGUCUUUAUGCAGGAGCCAGCACGGUGUAGGUGCUGUGUUCUCCCCAUGGAAACCAUCUUGUUCAGGGCUUGGAAGGACACAUGGAUGCGGAGCUGAGCAUUGCUGGCUUUAAAGAGCCAAUUGCUGCUGUGAACCUGCCCACCUGAGGGCUGAGGGCCCUGAUAGCUCCAAGACCAACUGGCAAGUUUUCCCAGGUGCAAGGGUAUCUUUAGCCAGCGCCCCUGGGAAACUGUCAAUCACACUCUCCUGGCCCCACCAGGGAUCCAAGAAGGAAGAGAUUUAUGUGGGCAUGCUUUGCCUGACUGCUUACGCCCUGCUUUACCCAGCUUAGUGCUAUUUCUUCUAAUUCCACACAGCAACCCAGGGAGGUGGAAUUCCCUACAGCGGAGAACAGCCAAGGAAUGGCAAGGAUUUUUUUGGCAACCACGGGAAGCUAGAUGGGAAAGGAAGCCUCCUUCCCUGAAGACUUUGAAUGGAGGAUGGCCCUGCCGACACCUUGACUGUGGACUUCUGGCCUUCAGAAUGAGGCAGCAUGCACUUAUAUUGUGCCUCAUUGCCAUCCCAUUCUGCAGAUGAGGAAACCAAGGCUCUGAGGGGCUGGCCAACAGGAGACAUGGUCCAAAGUGGCGGAGCCAAGAGCAAGAACAGCAGCUGCUGUGUUCUGAGCACCUCCUGGAGCCAAGACACGGCCCCGCUUUUAGAGCUCAGAGAGGUGGCUCAGCCUGGAUGGCUGGGCAAACACUCCCAUGGAGAAGUCUGGAGAUGUGGCCAAGGUUUCCUGCAGAGCAAUGAGGCUGGGGAGCUAGGGGGCUCCACUGUAAACCCUGGGGACACAGAACUACAGUUGCCCGUUUCUGCGCACCUACUGUGUGCCUGGCACCAGAGAACAUCUGAAAAGCAGCUCCUAACUCUCAGUGGAAAGGGAUUUAAAGAGGAAAAUAAAUAAAGUGUGAAAGUGCC